Molecule: ribosomal RNA, 433 nt
Filed under: uncultured bacterium
Lineage: Bacteria
Description: partial 16S ribosomal RNA
Rfam family: Bacterial small subunit ribosomal RNA
Source: RNAcentral
AGCGAACGCUGGCGGCAGGCUUAACACAUGCAAGUCGAGCGGGCACUCCGGGGUCUGCGGCAUACGGGUGUGUAACACGUGGGAACGUAACCUUCGGGUCGGACUAACGCUGGGAAACUAACGACAAUACCGGAUAGGCCCUAUUGGGGAAAGGUUUAUUGCCCAAGGAUGGGCACGCGUCUGAUUAGCUGGUUGGUGGGGUAAUGGCCUACUACGGCGAGGAUCAGUAGCUGGUCAGAGAGGAGGAUCAGCCACACUUGGACUAAGACGCGGCCCGGAAUCCUACGGAAGGGAGGAGAGGGGAAUAGUGGACAAUGGCGGCAAGCCUGAUCGAGCCCUGCCGGGUAAGUGAUGAAGGCCUUAGGGAUCUAAAGCGCUAUUGUCCGGGACGGUAAUGACGGUACCGGAUGAAUAAGCCCCGGCUAACUUCGUG